GGAAGUAAAAGUCGUAACAAGAUCUCCGUUGGUGAACCAGCGGAGGGAUCAUUACCGAGUGCAAACUCAUAACCCUUUGUGAACCUAUAUCUGUUGCUUCGGCGGCUCGCUCUCGGGCGAGCCCGCCGGUAAUAUCAGUAUCUCUGUUUGAACCCGACGAUACUUCUGAGUGUUCUUAGCGAACAGUUAAAACUUUUAACAACGGAUCUCUUGGCUCUA
RNAcentral lists this unclassified non-coding RNA (219 nucleotides) under plant metagenome. Its description in RNAcentral is "partial contains small subunit ribosomal RNA, internal transcribed spacer 1, and 5.8S ribosomal RNA". The stretch from base 1 to 54 matches the Rfam family "Eukaryotic small subunit ribosomal RNA", at positions 1778 to 1831 of the family's 1831-position model. The record is from RNAcentral.